RNAcentral lists this ribosomal RNA (492 nucleotides) under uncultured bacterium. Its description in RNAcentral is "partial 16S ribosomal RNA". It matches the Rfam family "Bacterial small subunit ribosomal RNA", at positions 29 to 507 of the family's 1533-position model. The record is from RNAcentral.
AGUGAACGCUGGCGGUAGGCCUAACACAUGCAAGUCGAACGGCAGCACAGUAAGAGCUUGCUCUUACGGGUGGCGAGUGGCGGACGGGUGAGGAAUACAUCGGAAUCUACUUUUUCUUGGGGGAUAACGUAGGGAAACUUACGCUAAUACCGCAUACGACCUACGGGUUAAAGCAGUGGAUCUUCGGACCUUUCGCGAUUGAAUGAGCCGAUGUCGGAUUAGCUAGUUGGCGGGGUAAAGGCCCACCAAGGCGACGAUCCGUAGCUGGUCUGAGAGGAUGAUCAGCCACACUGGAACUGAGACACGGUCCAGACUCCUACGGGAGGCAGCAGUGGGGAAUAUUGGACAAUGGGCGAAAGCCUGAUGCAGCCAUACCGCGUGGGUGAAGAAGGCCUUCGGGUUGUAAAGCCCUUUUGUUGGGAAAGAAAAGCAGCAGGUUAAUACCCCGCUGUUCUGACGGUACCCAAAGAAUAAGCACCGGCUAACUUCGUG